AAAAAAAAAAAAAAUUACU
Molecule: unclassified non-coding RNA, 19 nt
Filed under: Bombyx mori cypovirus 1
Lineage: Riboviria; Orthornavirae; Duplornaviricota; Resentoviricetes; Reovirales; Spinareoviridae
Description: Template RNA (5'-R(P*AP*AP*AP*AP*AP*AP*AP*AP*AP*AP*AP*AP*AP*AP*UP*UP*AP*CP*U)-3'... from Bombyx mori cypovirus 1 (PDB 6TY9, chain T)
Source: RNAcentral